AUUUGUACUGUGAAACUGCGAAUGGCUCAUUAAAUCAGUUAUCGUUUAUUUGAUAGUACCUUACUACAUGGAUACCUGUGGUAAUUCUAGAGCUAAUACAUGCUAAAAACCUCGACUUCGGAAGGGGUGUAUUUAUUAGAUAAAAAACCAAUGCCCUUCGGGGCUCCUUGGUGAAUCAUAAUAACUUAGCGAAUCGCAUGGCCUUGCGCCGGCGAUGGUUCAUUCAAAUUUCUGCCCUAUCAACUUUCGAUGGUAGGAUAGUGGCCUACCAUGGUGGCAACGGGUAACGGGGAAUUAGGGUUCGAUUCCGGAGAGGGAGCCUGAGAAACGGCUACCACAUCCAAGGAAGGCAGCAGGCGCGCAAAUUACCCAAUCCCGAUACGGGGAGGUAGUGACAAUAAAUACUGAUACGGGGCUCUUUUGGGUCUCGUAAUUGGAAUGAGUACAAUCUAAAUCCCUUAACGAGGAACAAUUGGAGGGCAAGUCUGGUGCCAGCAGCCGCGGUAAUUCCAGCUCCAAUAGCGUAUAUUAAAGUUGUUGCAGUUAAAAAGCUCGUAGUUGAACCUUGGGUCUGGCUGGCCGGUCCGCCUCACCGCGAGUACUGGUCCGGCUGGACCUUUCCUUCUGGGGAACCUCAUGGCCUUCACUGGCUGUGGGGGGAACCAGGACUUUUACUGUGAAAAAAUUAGAGUGUUCAAAGCAGGCCUAUGCUCGAAUACAUUAGCAUGGAAUAAUAGAAUAGGACGUGCGGUUCUAUUUUGUUGGUUUCUAGGACCGCCGUAAUGAUUAAUAGGGAUAGUCGGGGGCGUCAGUAUUCAGCUGUCAGAGGUGAAAUUCUUGGAUUUGCUGAAGACUAACUACUGCGAAAGCAUUCGCCAAGGAUGUUUUCAUUAAUCAGGGAACGAAAGUUAGGGGAUCGAAGACGAUCAGAUACCGUCGUAGUCUUAACCAUAAACUAUGCCGACUAGGGAUCGGGCGGCGUUUCUAUAAUGACCCGCUCGGCACCUUACGAGAAAUCAAAG
RNAcentral lists this ribosomal RNA (1022 nucleotides) under Aspergillus restrictus. RNAcentral's name for it is "SSU rRNA". It matches the Rfam family "Eukaryotic small subunit ribosomal RNA", at positions 72 to 1103 of the family's 1831-position model. Lineage: Eukaryota; Fungi; Ascomycota; Eurotiomycetes; Eurotiales; Aspergillaceae. The record is from RNAcentral.